AGAACGAACGCUGGCGGCAGGCUUAACACAUGCAAGUCGAACGCAUCGCAAGAUGAGUGGCAGACGGGUGAGUAACGCGUGGGAAUCUACCCAAUUCUUCGGAACAACUGAGGGAAACUUCAGCUAAUACCGGAUGUGCCCUUCGGGGGAAAGAUUUAUCGGAAUUGGAUGAGCCCGCGUUGGAUUAGCUAGUUGGUGGGGUAAAGGCCUACCAAGGCGACGAUCCAUAGCUGGUCUGAGAGGAUGAUCAGCCACACUGGGACUGAGACACGGCCCAGACUCCUACGGGAGGCAGCAGUGGGGAAUAUUGGACAAUGGGCGCAAGCCUGAUCCAGCCAUGCCGCGUGUGUGAUGAAGGUCUUAGGAUUGUAAAGCACUUCCACCGGAGAAGAUAAUGACGGUAUCCGGAGAAGAAGCCCCGGCUAACUUCGUGCCAGCAGCCGC
RNAcentral lists this ribosomal RNA (444 nucleotides) under uncultured bacterium. RNAcentral's name for it is "SSU rRNA". It matches the Rfam family "Bacterial small subunit ribosomal RNA", at positions 26 to 518 of the family's 1533-position model. The record is from RNAcentral.